Molecule: ribosomal RNA, 372 nt
Filed under: uncultured organism
Description: partial 16S ribosomal RNA
Rfam family: Bacterial small subunit ribosomal RNA
Source: RNAcentral
GUAGGUGGCAAGCGUUGUCCGGAAUUAUUGGGCGUAAAGCGCGCGCAGGCGGUUCUUUAAGUCUGAUGUGAAAGCCCACGGCUCAACCGUGGAGGGUCAUUGGAAACUGGAGAACUUGAGUACAGAAGAGGAAAGCGGAAUUCCACGUGUAGCGGUGAGAUGCGUAGAGAUGUGGAGGAACACCAGUGGCGAAGGCGGCUUUCUGGUCUGUAACUGACGCUGAGGCGCGAAAGCGUGGGGAGCAAACAGGAUUAGAUACCCUGGUAGUCCACGCCGUAAACGAUGAGUGCUAAGUGUUAGGGGGUUUCCGCCCCCCUUAGUGCUGCAGCUAACGCAUUAAGCACUCCGCCUGGGAGUACGGCCGCAAGGCUG